GCGGGUGUGGUGAAUGGUUCACCGUUGCGUUCACUGCAAGAGUCGCAGUUGAAAGUUUCAGCAGCUGUCCCGGGUUCGAUUCCUGGCACCCGCA
Non-coding RNA from Mycena olivaceomarginata, 94 nucleotides. NCBI's taxonomy places the organism in Eukaryota, Fungi, Basidiomycota, Agaricomycetes, Agaricales, Mycenaceae. The record is from the annotation of a GenBank genome assembly.